Molecule: ribosomal RNA, 1251 nt
Filed under: bacterium CYCU-0215
Lineage: Bacteria
Description: bacterial SSU rRNA
Rfam family: Bacterial small subunit ribosomal RNA
Source: RNAcentral
UGGGGGGCUGCCUACCAUGCAGUCGAACGGCAGCGCGGGCUUCGGCCUGGCGGCGAGUGGCGGACGGGUGAGGAAUACAUAGGAAUCUGCCCAGUCGUGGGGGAUAACCCGGGGAAACCCGGACUAAUACCGCAUACGACGGUGACGUGAAAGCAGGGGACCUUCGGGCCUUGCGCGAUUGGAUGAGCCUAUGUCGGAUUAGCUAGUUGGCGGGGUAAAGGCCCACCAAGGCGACGAUCCGUAGCUGGUCUGAGAGGAUGAUCAGCCACACUGGGACUGAGACACGGCCCAGACUCCUACGGGAGGCAGCAGUGGGGAAUAUUGGACAAUGGGCGCAAGCCUGAUCCAGCAAUGCCGCGUGGGUGAAGAAGGCCUUCGGGUUGUAAAGCCCUUUUGUACGGGAAGAAAUCAUCCGGGUUAAUACCCUGGGUGGAUGACGGUACCGUAAGAAUAAGCACCGGCUAACUUCGUGCCAGCAGCCGCGGUAAUACGAAGGGUGCAAGCGUUAAUCGGAAUUACUGGGCGUAAAGCGUGCGUAGGUGGUUGUUUAAGUCUGUCGUGAAAGCCCUGGGCUCAACCUGGGAAUGGCGAUGGAUACUGGGCGACUGGAGUGCGGUAGAGGAUGGCGGAAUUCCCGGUGUAGCGGUGAAAUGCGUAGAGAUCGGGAGGAACAUCCGUGGCGAAGGCGGCCAUCUGGACCAGCACUGACACUGAGGCACGAAAGCGUGGGGAGCAAACAGGAUUAGAUACCCUGGUAGUCCACGCCCUAAACGAUGCGAACUGGAUGUUGGUCUCAACUUGGAGAUCAGUGUCGAAGCUAACGCGUUAAGUUCGCCGCCUGGGGAGUACGGUCGCAAGACUGAAACUCAAAGGAAUUGACGGGGGCCCGCACAAGCGGUGGAGUAUGUGGUUUAAUUCGAUGCAACGCGAGAACCUUACCUGGCCUUGACAUGUCCGGAAUCCUGCAGAGAUGCGGGAGUGCCUUCGGGAAUCGGAACACAGGUGCUGCAUGGCUGUCGUCAGCUCGUGUCGUGAGAUGUUGGGUUAAGUCCCGCACGAGCGCAACCCUUGUCCUUAGUUGCCAGCACGUAAUGGUGGGAACUCUAGGGAGACUGCCGUGACAACCGAGAAGGUGGGAUGACGUCAGUCAUCAUGUCCUUACGCAGGCUACACACGUACUACAUGGGUGGAAGAGGGCACCGAUCCGCGAGGGGGGCCAUUCCAAAACCCCACUCCAGUCCGGAAUUGCCA